RNAcentral lists this ribosomal RNA (827 nucleotides) under uncultured bacterium. RNAcentral describes it as "bacterial SSU rRNA". It matches the Rfam family "Bacterial small subunit ribosomal RNA", at positions 50 to 873 of the family's 1533-position model. The record is from RNAcentral.
UACACAUGCAAGUCGAACGGCAGCACGGGGGCAACCCUGGUGGCGAGUGGCGAACGGGUGAGUAGUACAUCGGAACGUAUCCUGUAGCGGGGGAUAACCUCUCGAAAGAGAGGCUAAUACCGCAUACGACCUACGGGUGAAAGAGGGGGAUCGCAAGACCUCUCACUAUUGGAGCGGCCGAUGUCGGAUUAGCUAGUUGGCGGGGUAACGGCCCACCAAGGCUACGAUCCGUAGCUGGUCUGAGAGGACGACCAGCCACACUGGAACUGAGACACGGUCCAGACUCCUACGGGAGGCAGCAGUGGGGAAUUUUGGACAAUGGGCGCAAGCCUGAUCCAGCCAUGCCGCGUGAGUGAAGAAGGCCUUCGGGUUGUAAAGCUCUUUCGGCGGGGACGAAAAGGUCUGUGUUAACACCACGGAUCCAUGACGGUACCCGCAGAAGAAGCACCGGCUAACUACGUGCCAGCAGCCGCGGUAAUACGUAGGGUGCAGGCGUUAAUCGGAAUUACUGGGCGUAAAGCGUGCGCAGGCGGUUUACUAAGACAGGUGUGAAAUCCCCGGGCUUAACCUGGGAACUGCGCUUGUAACUGGUAGGCUUGAGUGUGGCAGAGGGGGGUGGAAUUCCAGGUGUAGCAGUGAAAUGCGUAGAUAUCUGGAGGAACACCGAUGGCGAAGGCAGCCCCCUGGGCUAACACUGACGCUCAUGCACGAAAGCGUGGGGAGCAAACAGGAUUAGAUACCCUGGUAGUCCACGCCCUAAACUAUGUCAACUGGUUGUCGGGGAAGCAAUUCCUUGGUAACGAAGCUAACGCGUGAAGUUGACCAAU